CCUACGGGCGGCAGCAGUGGGGGAUAUUGCACAAUGGGGGGAACCCUGAUGCAGCGACGCCGCGUGGGUGAAGAAGCGCCUCGGCGCGUAAAGCCCUGUCAGCAGGGAAGAAAAUGACGGUACCUGAAGGAGAAGCCCCGGCUAACUACGUUCCAGCAGCCGCGGUACUACGGAGGGGGCAAGCGUUAUCCGGAUUUACUGGGUGUAAAGGGGGCGUAGACGGCGAUGCAAGCCAGGUGUGAAAGCCCGGGGCCCAACCCCGGGCCUGCUGUUGGAACUGGGUGGCUGGAGUGCAGGGGGGGCAGGCGGAAGUCGUGGUGUAGCGGUGAAAUGCGUAGAUAUGAGGAGGUACACCGGUGGCGAAGGCGGCCUGCUGGAGUGCAACUGACGUUGAGGCCCGAAAGCGUGGGGAGCGAACAGGAUUAGAUACCCGAGUAGUC
This 440-nucleotide ribosomal RNA is filed under the name uncultured bacterium. RNAcentral's name for it is "partial 16S ribosomal RNA". It matches the Rfam family "Bacterial small subunit ribosomal RNA", at positions 338 to 795 of the family's 1533-position model. The record is from RNAcentral.